This is a long non-coding RNA of Clupea harengus (Atlantic herring), 3227 nucleotides long. NCBI's taxonomy places the organism in Eukaryota, Metazoa, Chordata, Actinopteri, Clupeiformes, Clupeidae. The record is from Ensembl.
GUGCGUGGGUAGGUAGGAGUGGCUUGUAUAUGUAUUAUGUAUGCGCUAGAUGGUGGAUAGGACAUCUGUCCCGUCUACUAUGGUAAAACGCCACACGAGGACGGUAAAGCUGGUCUAACUAGCCUGAGCGCAGUGUACCUUAACAGUAGGCUAUUACCAAAGGGGCGCUGUGUCCCGCGGGCUCAGAACGCCUCCCAGUGGUCGCACAUGGGAACUGCACGAGGGCUACCGCAGUCAUUUAUCAAUUCAGUGGGGCAACACAACAGGCCGACAUAAAGUUAUUUAUUACAGUGCAAUAGCUUAUCCAGGAGUUGGCCUAAAGUCACAAAAAGUCUUAACAUCAGUGAUAUUUUGUUUGAUUUGCUGUAUCACAAUUGUGUAGGAUGUGUUGGGUCAAAGAAUCAACGGUUCAGCAAAACUUUUUAUUAUAUUUUUUUUUUAAUUUACAAUGUAUAAAUAUGAGUCUAAAGACUACAAAGUCCAUGAAAAUACAGAGUUAAAUCUUUGAGCUUCAUCGCCAUUCACAAGUCUUGAAGAAAAUGCAAGCAAGAUAAGGGCAUGGCACACAAGGUCUAUUAAAUUACAUUUUUGAAAAUCAAAAGUUCAAGUCAUCUGUUUUACUCUCAAAACAUCAAUGUAGCAAUUCACAAAACACUGAUUCUAACACUAUUCUGUCACAUCAUGCCGUCGGUCACCUUAAAUUCACCCAAUCACUGAAAUCUCAUUGCAUCUUCACACUUGAACAAAUGUCGAAGAGUAAAAAUAAUAAAACAAAUCUAUUCCUAUAUAACUGGCUCUACUCUAAGCAUCUAAGCAGUGUGGCCGAAUGGAUAACUAACCCAGUAAGUCCAACUUUAAAAUAAAAUCCAUCACUUUUGAUUAAAUCAUUGGAAGACUUCAAGUGUUAAAGAGUAGAUAAAACUGCGCUUAGUGAGACAUAGAGCUGUGUUAUGCUAAACAUCCCUCUCCAGAGGAUAACACACGCACACACACGCGCACGCGCGCGGUCUGCUCUGCAGUGGAGCCCGUUCAACCGUUUAGCAGAGUGACAGCGCGCGCAGACACAAUGCACAGCGGGCUCACGAGGCGCUAACAAAGCUGACAGAAACCAUUAGCGAUCUCAUUUACCAAAGACCGGUACAUCGAGACCAGUGCAAAAUUACAAAUCCACCUGCACUCACUAUUCAAUCACACGGGUAAAUCUGUUACCCUGCUGCCUUAGGAGGACAGAGCACAACUAAAGAAAGGCUGAGGAGGCGCCAACAGGCUGAGGACAACGUCAAUGUCUGGCGCAACACAACUGGGGAAUCUUAUGCAACAGAACUAGAGACAAUGCUGUUUAGUCUUCACGUGUUCUAAUCGUAUCACUUGACAUAACGAGCUGAAUGGUCAUAUUGCAACAAUGCAAGACCAACAUGGCUUCAGUUCACAGAUGGCGGUGAGGCUUGCUUUGCCAGUUAAACCACGUAUCUUAUCACAACAAAGACAUUUCAGAAUAGUAAAACCACAAAUCAACUUGAACGUGAAAUGGCUGCCACAUAAACAAACCAACCAACCAAAAAAGAGACAGAACACAUAAAUAAACAUGCUUUAAACACCUACAACACCACAGCACAGGGGCAGCGUGUCCAAGUGUCUGUUGAACACUGAUGAACAUGUCUAGCACACAUCUUGGCGCAGAACAGGCUGCCAAUCAGGAACAGUUGGUGAGUCCUCUGGUGGCGCCCAGCCCCAGCUCUUGGCAUUAUGGGAUGUUGGCUGUGGAAGUUAACAACCUCACUGACUGACUGCCUGCAUCACAGCCAGCUCUCCGUGCUGAUCGGGAUCCCGGGGCCACAGAGGGGCAUUUAAUCGGUCUUGCCCCAGCCUGCUCGAGGGGGGGGGGGGGGGGGCAGUCAGCCUUGAGGUUGGGGCUGGCAGACACACAGAGAUGUCUGCUCCUGAUGCCAGGGUCGGGGCUCGGGGGGUUAGGCACAGGGCUUGCCAGCCUGCAUUCAUAAAGAGCUUUCUCAGGGAUGAUCUUACAGAGCAGCAUAGCUCUCUCUCUGCCCGGGGGCUAACGCUCUUUCAACUCCAGCAGGAAUGUUUCAUGAUAAAACAUUUUAAACUGGGGUAUGAGUGCCAACACCAGUCAACGGUAUCUGCUAUGGCCCACUAUGGGGAUGCCCAGUGAGACAGUAAUGGUAUGGCCCACUAUGGGGAGUGCCCAGUCAGACAGUAAUGGUAUGGCCCACUAUGGGGAUGCCCAGUCAGACAGUAAUGGUAUGGCCCACUAUGGGGAGUGCCCAGUCAGACACUAUGGGAGUACCCAGUCAGACAGUAAUGGUAUGGCCCACUAUGGGGAUGCCCAGUCAGAGAGUUAUAAGGGCACUUAUUUGGCGCAAAUGUCUGCCAGAUAACCUUUAUCCUUAUCAGCAGUGAAGACAAGCAACACCGUGGUCUUAAACUCAGACUCAACGAAUGUACUGACAGCGACUCAACAGAACUCAGAGCAAGGGACACUCAAACAGACUGAUACCACUGGGUCCAAUCAUACAUCAUGCAGUUGCAUUCUGGGAGCUCUGUGGGGACAGAUAUAAUUAAACUGGAGCGAAGCAUGGGCAGUGAAAACACACAAAUAAACAAACAACAAACAAUAAACAAAUCCCUUAUACUUGAUCCUUUCAGGACAGGAGUGACUGGUAACAUGAACCAUCAAAAAAACAAAUGAAAUGACUGCAACCAGUAUAGCUUCACAUUCAGAGGUUAAUGACAUCUUGGAGUGUGUAAACGACUGCAAUCCCAGCUCUCACGGCUGCCGUUUGUUUUCAUUUCACAUCUUAAUGAGGCAAUCUGUCAGAGAAAUAAUCGCUCGCUGAAACACGCAUCCCACCAGAUCAGACUGGCGCUAACGCAACUCCUGAUUGGCUCAUCGACCUGAGCUCUCCUUAUUGUCCAAUCAGGGCUAUUGACCUUGGAGAGCAUGAUUAAAGUAAUGUGUUUCCCAAUAGUACAGUGCAUCCUGUGUUUAUUGUUUAUCAUUUUCUAGCACUGUGAAAUGUAAACAAACAAUGAAAUAAAACAGGAACAUGCAGACAAUGCACAGCGACAACAGAGUAACUUAAAAAAUAAAAUAAAAGCCCCUUGUGAAUGAGAUCAUUGCUGUGGAAGACCACCUACUGCAGGGGUGAGGCUGACACACACACACACACACACACACACACACACACACACACACAGGGGCUGUU